GCCCGGGGUGGUGGCGCGCGCCUGUAAUCCCAGCUACUUAGGAGGCUGAGGCAGGAGAAUCGCUUGAACCCAGGAGGUGGAGGUUGCAGUGAGCCAAGAUCGCACCACUGCACUUCAGCCUGGGUGACAAAGUGAGACUCUGUCUCAA
Molecule: non-coding RNA, 148 nt
Filed under: Chlorocebus sabaeus (green monkey)
Lineage: Eukaryota; Metazoa; Chordata; Mammalia; Primates; Cercopithecidae
Source: Rfam by way of RNAcentral